ACAUGAUUAUCUGCCAAAAAAAAGGACAAGCACAUUUGACCCCCGAGCGCUAUAAAUAGACACCUAGACCUUCUCAUAACUCUUGUCCACCCACCAAAACCCAGGUCACCUUCAUUCACUACUGAUUCAGGCAUGGGGAGCAAGCUUGCCGCGACCGCCUUCUGCUUCUUCCUCCUCCUCACCUUUGGUUUUGGUAAGGAGAAGACGCCAUGCGAAAGGCCCAGCGAGUAUUACCGGGACAUCGAGUGCCUCGAAUUCAAGUGCAAGAGUUCCUGCCUGAUGGAGCACUUCAGAGACGGGCAAUGCAAUUCUAACUUACAAUGCGUAUGUACUAACCACUGUCGCAAUGGGAGACGCCCGAUUGAAGGCAGGGACGGCUAGAAACCCCCACCUUUGUUGUAAUGGAAUGUAUGCAAACAAUAAUGUGAUGGUUUGGUUUGUCGACCUGA
Long non-coding RNA from Brachypodium distachyon (stiff brome), 449 nucleotides. RefSeq lists it as uncharacterized. The transcript has 2 exons. The record is from RefSeq and is a predicted model, not a curated record. Lineage: Eukaryota; Viridiplantae; Streptophyta; Magnoliopsida; Poales; Poaceae.